GAUGAACGCUGGCGGCGUGCCUAAUACAUGCAAGUCGAGCGAACAGAUAAGGAGCUUGCUCCUUUGACGUUAGCGGCGGACGGGUGAGUAACACGUGGAUAACCUACCUAUAAGACUGUGAUAACUUCGGGAAACCGGAGCUAAUACCGGAUAACAUAUUGAACCGCAUGGUUCAAUAGUGAAAGGCGGCUUUGCUGUCACUUAUAGAUGGAUCCGCGCCGUAUUAGCUAGUUGGUAAGGUAACGGCUUACCAAGGCAACGAUACGUAGCCGACCUGAGAGGGUGAGCGGCCACACUGGAACUGAGACACGGGCCAGACUCCUACGGGAGGCAGCAGUAGGGAAUCUUCCGCAAUGGGCGAAAGCCUGACGGAGCAACGCCGCGUGAGUGAUGAAGGUCUUCGGAUCGUAAAACUCUGUUAUCAGGGAAGAACAAAUGUGUAAGUAACUGUGCACAUCUUGACGGUACCUGAUCAGAAAGCCACGGUUAACUACGUGCCAGCAGCCGCCGUAA
This 513-nucleotide ribosomal RNA is filed under the name uncultured bacterium. Its description in RNAcentral is "partial 16S ribosomal RNA". It matches the Rfam family "Bacterial small subunit ribosomal RNA", at positions 28 to 523 of the family's 1533-position model. The record is from RNAcentral.